GACGAACGCUGGCGGCGUGCCUAAUACAUGCAAGUUGAGCGCUGAAGGUUGGUACUUGUACCGACCGGAUGAGCAGCGAACGGGUGAGUAACGCGUGGGGAAUCUGCCUUUGAGCGGGGGACAACAUUUGGAAACGAAUGCUAAUACCGCAUAAAAACUUUAAACACAAGUUUUAAGUUUGAAAGAUGCAAUUGCAUCACUCAAAGAUGAUCCCGCGUUGUAUUAGCUAGUUGGUGAGGUAAAGGCUCACCAAGGCGAUGAUACAUAGCCGACCUGAGAGGGUGAUCGGCCACAUUGGGACUGGGACACGGCCCAAACUCCUACGGGAGGCAGCAGUAGGGAAUCUUCGGCAAUGGACGAAAGUCUGACCGAGCAACGCCGCGUGAGUGAAGAAGGUUUUCGGAUCGUAAAACUCUGUUGGUAGAGAAGAACGUUGGUGAGAGUGGAAAGCUCAUCAAGUGACGGUAACUACCCAGAAAGGGACGGCUAACUACGUGCCAGCAGCCGCCGUAA
This 513-nucleotide ribosomal RNA is filed under the name uncultured bacterium. RNAcentral describes it as "partial 16S ribosomal RNA". It matches the Rfam family "Bacterial small subunit ribosomal RNA", at positions 28 to 523 of the family's 1533-position model. The record is from RNAcentral.